AGUGAACGCUGGCGGUAGGCCUAACACAUGCAAGUCGAACGGCAGCACAGUAAGAGCUUGCUCUUACGGGUGGCGAGUGGCGGACGGGUGAGGAAUACAUCGGAAUCUACUUUUUCGUGGGGGAUAACGUAGGGAAACUAACGCUAAUACCGCAUACGACCUACGGGUGAAAGCAGGGGAUCUUCGGACCUUGCGCGAUUGAAUGAGCCGAUGUCGGAUUAGCUAGUUGGCGGGGUAAAGGCCCACCAAGGCGACGAUCCGUAGCUGGUCUGAGAGGAUGACCAGCCACACUGGAACUGAGACACGGUCCAGACUCCUACGGGAGGCAGCAGUGGGGAAUAUUGGACAAUGGGCGCAAGCCUGAUCCAGCCAUACCGCGUGGGUGAAGAAGGCCUUCGGGUUGUAAAGCCCUUUUGUUGGGAAAGAAAAGCAGCAGGUUAAUACCCCGCUGUUCUGACGGUACCCAAAGAAUAAGCACCGGCUAACUUCGUG
RNAcentral lists this ribosomal RNA (492 nucleotides) under uncultured bacterium. RNAcentral describes it as "partial 16S ribosomal RNA". It matches the Rfam family "Bacterial small subunit ribosomal RNA", at positions 29 to 507 of the family's 1533-position model. The record is from RNAcentral.